UACGUAGGGUGCGAGCGUUAAUCGGAAUUACUGGGCGUAAAGCGUGCGCAGGCGGUUUUGUAAGCCAGGUAUGAAAUCCCCGGGCUUAACCUGGGAAUGGCAUUUGGGACUGCAAAGCUGGAGUGCGGCAGAGGGGACUGGAAUUCCUGGUGUAGCAGUGAAAUGCGUAGAGAUCAGGAGGAACACCGAUGGCGAAGGCAGGUCCCUGGGUUGACACUGACGCUCAUGCACGAAAGCGUGGGGAGCAAACAG
RNAcentral lists this ribosomal RNA (252 nucleotides) under uncultured bacterium. Its description in RNAcentral is "partial 16S ribosomal RNA". It matches the Rfam family "Bacterial small subunit ribosomal RNA", at positions 524 to 775 of the family's 1533-position model. The record is from RNAcentral.